Non-coding RNA from Acanthosepion pharaonis, 107 nucleotides. NCBI's taxonomy places the organism in Eukaryota, Metazoa, Mollusca, Cephalopoda, Sepiida, Sepiidae. The record is from the annotation of a GenBank genome assembly.
ACAGCCACAUCAUGCUGAAACAUUGGUUCCCAUGCAAUCACUGAAGUAAAGCAACAUCAAGCCUGGUCAGUACUUCAAUGGGUGACCAAUUGGGAAUAUCAGGUGCC